UGGGGAAUUUUCCGCAAUGGGCGCAAGCCUGACGGAGCAAUACCGCGUGAGGGAGGAAGGCUUUUGGGUUGUAAACUGCUUUUGCGUGGGACGAUAACGACGGUACCACGCGAAUCAGCCCCGGCUAACUCUGUGCCAGCAGCCGCGGUAAUACAGAGGGGGCAAGCGUUGUCCGGACUUACUGGGCGUAAAGCGCACGCAGGUGGUAACGCAAGUGGGGUGUGAAAGCCGCCAGCUCAACUGGCGGAGGCCAUCCCAAACUGCGUCACUUGAGGCCUGUAGAGGUAUGUGGAAUUGCCGGUGUAGUGGUGAAAUGCGUAGAGAUCGGCAGGAACACCCAGGGGGAAACCAGCAUACUGGACAGGUCCUGACACUCAGGUGCGACAGCGUGGGGAGCGAACCGGAUUAGAUACCCCCGUAGUCC
RNAcentral lists this ribosomal RNA (424 nucleotides) under uncultured prokaryote. RNAcentral's name for it is "bacterial SSU rRNA". It matches the Rfam family "Bacterial small subunit ribosomal RNA", at positions 355 to 796 of the family's 1533-position model. The record is from RNAcentral.